GGUUAGAUAUUACUAGAAAUAGCUAGAAAGAAAAAAAGACAAAAAAUAAGAUGUAAGCAAUUACGUAAGUUAUUUUAGUCUUGUAAAAAGUCUUGAUAAGAUUAGGUAGAAUAGUAUUACUUUUUGUAAAGUUUUUUGUUUUGUUUUGUAAAGUGUCGGCAAGAAGAUAAGGUGGAAUAAUUUGAGUGGAUGAUGGGGCCCAAUGA
RNAcentral lists this long non-coding RNA (206 nucleotides) under Nicotiana benthamiana. RNAcentral's name for it is "long non-coding RNA (NBEN_LNC000198)". The record is from RNAcentral. Lineage: Eukaryota; Viridiplantae; Streptophyta; Magnoliopsida; Solanales; Solanaceae.